UACGAAGGGGGCUAGCGUUAUUCGGAAUCACUGGGCUUAAAGGGUGCGUAGGCGGCCAUGUAAGUGGGGUGUGAAAUCCCUCGGCUCAACCGAGGAACUGCGCUCCAUACUGCAUGGCUUGAGGGAGGCAGGGGUAAGCGGAACUGAUGGUGGAGCGGUGAAAUGCGUUGAUAUCAGCAGGAACACCGGUGGCGAAAGCGGCUUACUGGGUCUCUACUGACGCUGAGGUACGAAAGCUAGGGUAGCGAACGGG
This 253-nucleotide ribosomal RNA is filed under the name uncultured bacterium. Its description in RNAcentral is "partial 16S ribosomal RNA". It matches the Rfam family "Bacterial small subunit ribosomal RNA", at positions 524 to 776 of the family's 1533-position model. The record is from RNAcentral.